GAUGAAGAACGCAGCGAAAUGCGAUAAGUAAUGCGAAUUGCAGAAUUCCAGUGAGUCAUCGAAUCUUUGAACGCACAUUGCGCCCAUUGGUAUUCCGAUGGGCAUGCCUGUUCGAGCGUCAUUAUCAACCCUCAAGCCCCUUUGGCUUGGUGUUGGGUCUCACCGUUGAACGGGAACGGUGGAUCCGAAAGACAAUGGCGGAGCCUGUGGGCCCUGGAGGUAGCGAGCUCCUCAGCACACGUCCAGACGGCGUCCAGGCUCCGUCUCAACCAUCUAUUUCUUCUGGUUGACCUCGGAUCAGGUAGGGAUACCCGCUGAACUUAAGCAUAUCAAUAAGCGGAGGA
Molecule: unclassified non-coding RNA, 344 nt
Filed under: soil metagenome
Description: partial contains 5.8S ribosomal RNA, internal transcribed spacer 2, and large subunit ribosomal RNA
Rfam family: 5.8S ribosomal RNA (bases 1-121)
Source: RNAcentral